GACGAACGCUGGCGGCGUGCUUAACACAUGCAAGUCGAACGGAAAGGCCUGCUUUUCCUUGUGGAUUGCGGGUACUCGAGUGGCGAACGGGUGAGUAACACGUGAGUGAUCUGCCCCCAACUUGGGUAUAAGCCUGGGAAACUGGGUCUAAUUCCCGAUAGGACUGCAGGGUGGUGCCUGUGGUGGAAAACGAUUUUCUAGUGGUUGGGGAUGAGCUCGCGGCCUAUCAGCUUGUUGGUGGGGUAAUGGCCUACCAAGGCGGCGACGGGUAGCCGGCCUGAGAGGGUGGACGGCCACAUUGGGACUGAGAUACGGCCCAGACUCCUACGGGAGGCAGCAGUGGGGAAUAUUGCACAAUGGGCGGAAGCCUGAUGCAGCGACGCCGCGUGGGGGAUGACGGCCUUCGGGUUGUAAACUCCUUUCGACCGCGAGGAAGCCACCUGGUUGGAAGGGUGGUGACGGUAGUGGUAGAAGAAGCACCGGCUAACUACGU
This 493-nucleotide ribosomal RNA is filed under the name uncultured bacterium. Its description in RNAcentral is "partial 16S ribosomal RNA". It matches the Rfam family "Bacterial small subunit ribosomal RNA", at positions 28 to 506 of the family's 1533-position model. The record is from RNAcentral.